UACGAAGGGGACUAGCGUUGUUCGGAAUUACUGGGCGUAAAGCGCACGUAGGCGGAUUGCUAAGUCAGGGGUGAAAUCCCGGGGCUCAACCUCGGAACUGCCUUUGAUACUGACAAUCUCGAGUCCGAUAGAGGUGGGUGGAAUUCCUAGUGUAGAGGUGAAAUUCGUAGAUAUUAGGAAGAACACCGGUGGCGAAGGCGGCCCACUGGAUCGGUACUGACGCUGAGGUGCGAAAGCGUGGGGAGCAAACAGG
This 253-nucleotide ribosomal RNA is filed under the name Hyphomicrobium sp. Its description in RNAcentral is "partial 16S ribosomal RNA". It matches the Rfam family "Bacterial small subunit ribosomal RNA", at positions 524 to 776 of the family's 1533-position model. The record is from RNAcentral. RNAcentral also lists the same sequence under 1 other name. Lineage: Bacteria; Pseudomonadati; Pseudomonadota; Alphaproteobacteria; Hyphomicrobiales; Hyphomicrobiaceae.